This 30-nucleotide non-coding RNA is filed under the name Mus musculus (house mouse). Lineage: Eukaryota; Metazoa; Chordata; Mammalia; Rodentia; Muridae. The record is from RNAcentral.
UGUCUCACAGGUGUCCCACCAGAAGCUUCA